Bactrocera oleae (olive fruit fly) is the source of this 678-nucleotide long non-coding RNA. RefSeq lists it as uncharacterized. NCBI's taxonomy places the organism in Eukaryota, Metazoa, Arthropoda, Insecta, Diptera, Tephritidae. The record is from RefSeq and is a predicted model, not a curated record.
AUGUUUGGGUUGAAAAUCAAAUUUGCCUGUUCCAAAAAUCGAAAAACUUAAUCGAUGUGAUUUUGAAAUUAUAUGUCUUGUUCUGAAAACCGAAUUCAUAUAAUUUUAAAACAAAAAAAUUAUAACGUGUGAUAUAGAGGCGGGGGAAGGAUGGAGGGAGAGUUUUCUGUCAAGAGCAAUCCACCAACUUUAGCUUCAGGAUCCCAGAUCUCAGUAGUAUUUUUCAAGCAAAACUAUACUAAAUCCAACAGCAGAGCGGGUCUCACUAACAGCGCACUCAAUUAGUCAAGGAAUUUCCGACCUCACCAGCAAUAGUAUCAUGAAUUGCUGGAAACUGUAAAACUGAAGAGCUCGCAACAAAGCAAACACAAAAAUAUUUAACAAAAAAAGUUGUACCUAAUUUUAUGGAAAAUAAGAAAGAUUUCGUCUAAGGAUUUUGAAAGGAGACAAAAUGCAGAUACAAACGUCGUGGAGGGAGCUUGCAACUGAACUCAAUAGCCACUGGGAUACUGUAGAAAUAAUUUAACAUGCCUGCCAUCAAUACAAUCAUAGGUCGCUGACCUCUGCUUUUUCUACAAAGUAGUCAAUAACAUCACUGAUGCUCAUGAUAUCCUAAACAGUUUUGAACUCGCCCCUGCUGGUCUUACCCUGAGGCGAAAUAGAUUACUAAAAACAUCG